AUUGAACGCUGGCGGCAGGCCUAACACAUGCAAGUCGAACGGUAACAGGAAGAAGCUCGCUUCUUUGCUGACGAGUGGCGGACGGGUGAGUAAUGUCUGGGAAACUGCCUGAUGGAGGGGGAUAACUACUGGAAACGGUAGCUAAUACCGCAUAACGUCGCAAGACCAAAAAGGGGGACCUUCGGGCCUCUUGCCAUCGGAUGUGCCCAGAUGGGAUUAGCUAGUAGGUGGGGUAACGGCUCACCUAGGCGACGAUCCCUAGCUGGUCUGAGAGGAUGACCAGCCACACUGGAACUGAGACACGGUCCAGACUCCUACGGGAGGCAGCAGUGGGGAAUAUUGCACAAUGGGCGCAAGCCUGAUGCAGCCAUGCCGCGUGUAUGAAGAAGGCCUUCGGGUUGUAAAGUACUUUCAGCGGGGAGGAAGGGAGUAAAGUUAAUACCUUUGCUCAUUGACGUUACCCGCAGAAGAAGCACCGGCUAACUCCGUG
This 490-nucleotide ribosomal RNA is filed under the name uncultured bacterium. RNAcentral describes it as "partial 16S ribosomal RNA". It matches the Rfam family "Bacterial small subunit ribosomal RNA", at positions 30 to 507 of the family's 1533-position model. The record is from RNAcentral.